UCCCUGAUGGUUCAGUGGCUAAGACUCUGCGCUCCUCAUGCAGGGGACCCAGGUUCGAUCCCUGGUCAGGGAA
Molecule: non-coding RNA, 73 nt
Organism: Dama dama (fallow deer)
Lineage: Eukaryota; Metazoa; Chordata; Mammalia; Artiodactyla; Cervidae
Source: the annotation of a RefSeq genome assembly